Corchorus olitorius is the source of this 103-nucleotide non-coding RNA. NCBI's taxonomy places the organism in Eukaryota, Viridiplantae, Streptophyta, Magnoliopsida, Malvales, Malvaceae. The record is from Rfam.
UUCCAUGUCGAUGAUGAUAAAUGUUUAAUCCCAGCUCAUUAUGAGACCUUUUUUCAAAGGUCUGGGAAUUGACUCUUAAUCCAACAUUUAUCUGAGCCUAAAU